CCCAACUUGGACCGUAUGGGCUACAUAACGCUUGUUUUGUGUCAUCGUUGUAGCGCUCAGAGGAACGCUUGUAAAUAUUCUGCGUACACCUAUAAAACAUCAUCAUGAAACAAAAUAAUAUACAGGGUCCAGAUCCGCUACUAAUUAGUAAAACGUCAAGAUGUACUUAUACCCGCUCCUAAGUCCCAUGUCAACAUAAUGUAACCACGGACAUAUGUAAUGGAAAGAUGAUCCGACAGGUCACGUUGCGAACCGCUUUGUCCUAAAAUUCGAGACACCAUAAGCGACGUACGACGAUAAUCCAGGUACAAGUACCGAGAAUGAUGGUCGAUUUAUGACGGUAUCUGAGAAGUUUACAACGAUGUUAUCGUACACGUUUUUAUACACAUACAACGUAUAACGAG
Long non-coding RNA from Hylaeus anthracinus, 404 nucleotides. RefSeq lists it as uncharacterized. The transcript has 3 exons. The record is from RefSeq and is a predicted model, not a curated record. NCBI's taxonomy places the organism in Eukaryota, Metazoa, Arthropoda, Insecta, Hymenoptera, Colletidae.